Brassica oleracea var. oleracea is the source of this 107-nucleotide small nucleolar RNA. It matches the Rfam family "Plant small nucleolar RNA R71". From Rfam's summary of the family: R71 is a member of the C/D box family of snoRNAs containing the C (UGAUGA) and D (CUGA) box motifs. The record is from Rfam. NCBI's taxonomy places the organism in Eukaryota, Viridiplantae, Streptophyta, Magnoliopsida, Brassicales, Brassicaceae.
AACCCGUGGUGAGGACAUUCCCUUCGGUACUCCUUAUAGCGCUCCCAAGCAUCAUAGAAAGGCCCGUCAGACUUUUGCUUGAAAUUCGAGAUCUUAUGCCUCAGAGC